This is a transfer RNA of Folsomia candida, 64 nucleotides long. It matches the Rfam family "tRNA". From Rfam's summary of the family: Transfer RNA (tRNA) molecules are approximately 80 nucleotides in length. Their secondary structure includes four short double-helical elements and three loops (D, anti-codon, and T loops). The record is from Rfam. Lineage: Eukaryota; Metazoa; Arthropoda; Collembola; Entomobryomorpha; Isotomidae.
GAUUGUCAAGUGGUUAAGGCGUUCGCUCGGAAUGCGAAAGGUUCAGGGUUCGAUUCCCUGAUCG